UACGGAGGGUGCAAGCGUUAUCCGGAUUCACUGGGUUUAAAGGGUGCGUAGGUGGGCAGGUAAGUCAGUGGUGAAAUCUCCGGGCUUAACCCGGAAACUGCCAUUGAUACUAUCUGUCUUGAAUACCGUGGAGGUGAGCGGAAUAUGUCAUGUAGCGGUGAAAUGCUUAGAUAUGACAUAGAACACCAAUUGCGAAGGCAGCUCACUACUCAAUCAUUGACUCUGAGGCACGAAAGCGUGGGGAUCAAACAGG
This 253-nucleotide ribosomal RNA is filed under the name uncultured bacterium. RNAcentral's name for it is "partial 16S ribosomal RNA". It matches the Rfam family "Bacterial small subunit ribosomal RNA", at positions 524 to 776 of the family's 1533-position model. The record is from RNAcentral.